RNAcentral lists this ribosomal RNA (497 nucleotides) under uncultured bacterium. RNAcentral's name for it is "partial 16S ribosomal RNA". It matches the Rfam family "Bacterial small subunit ribosomal RNA", at positions 28 to 507 of the family's 1533-position model. The record is from RNAcentral.
GAUGAACGCUGGCGGCGUGCCUAAUACAUGCAAGUCGAGCGAACAGACGAGGAGCUUGCUCCUCUGACGUUAGCGGCGGACGGGUGAGUAACACGUGGAUAACCUACCUAUAAGACUGGGAUAACUUCGGGAAACCGGAGCUAAUACCGGAUAAUAUAUUGAACCGCAUGGUUCAAUAGUGAAAGACGGUUUUGCUGUCACUUAUAGAUGGAUCCGCGCCGCAUUAGCUAGUUGGUAAGGUAACGGCUUACCAAGGCGACGAUGCGUAGCCGACCUGAGAGGGUGAUAGGCCACACGGGAACUGAGACACGGUCCAGACUCCUACGGGAGGCAGCAGUAGGGAAUCUUCCGCAAUGGGCGAAAGCCUGACGGAGCAACGCAGCGUGAGUGAUGAAGGUCUUCGGAUCGUAAAACUCUGUUAUUAGGGAAGAACAAAUGUGUAAGUAACUAUGCACGUCUUGACGGUACCUAAUCAGAAAGCCACGGCUAACUACGUG